Molecule: ribosomal RNA, 480 nt
Filed under: uncultured bacterium
Lineage: Bacteria
Description: partial 16S ribosomal RNA
Rfam family: Bacterial small subunit ribosomal RNA
Source: RNAcentral
GAUGAACGCUAGCGGCAGGCCUAACACAUGCAAGUCGAGGGGUAGAAGGAGCUUGCUCCUUUGAGACCGGCGCACGGGUGCGUAACGCGUAUGCAAUCUACCUUGUACAGGGGAAUAGCCCAGAGAAAUUUGGAUUAAUGCCCCAUAGUAUAUAACCUUCGCAUGUUGGUUAUAUUAAAGUUCCAACGGUACAAGAUGAGCAUGCGUCCCAUUAGUUAGUUGGUAAGGUAACGGCUUACCAAGACGAUGAUGGGUAGGGGUCCUGAGAGGGAGAUCCCCCACACUGGUACUGAGACACGGACCAGACUCCUACGGGAGGCAGCAGUGAGGAAUAUUGGUCAAUGGUCGAAAGACUGAACCAGCCAUGCCGCGUGCAGGAAGACGGUCCUAUGGAUUGUAACCUGCUUUUAUACAGGAAGAAACCCUCCCACGUGUGGGAGCUUGACGGUACUGUAGGAAUAAGGAUCGGCUAACUCCGUG